AUAUCAAUAAGCGGAGGAAAAGAAACUAACAAGGAUUCCCCUAGUAACUGCGAGUGAAGCGGGAAAAGCUCAAAUUUAAAAUCUGGCAGUCUCGCGGCUGUCCGAGUUGUAAUCUAGGAGAAGUGUUUAUCCGCGUCUGGACCGUGUACAAGUCUCCUGGAAUGGAGCGUCAUAGAGGGUGAGAAUCCCGUCUUUGACACGGACAACCGAUGCUUUGUGAUGCGCUCUCGAAGAGUCGAGUUGUUUGGGAAUGCAGCUCUAAAUGGGUGGUAAAUUCCAUCUAAAGCUAAAUAUUGGCGAGAGACCGAUAGCGAACAAGUACCGUGAGGGAAAGAUGAAAAGCACUUUGGAAAGAGAGUUAAACAGUAC
This 369-nucleotide ribosomal RNA is filed under the name uncultured fungus. Its description in RNAcentral is "eukaryotic LSU rRNA". It matches the Rfam family "Eukaryotic large subunit ribosomal RNA", at positions 40 to 398 of the family's 3401-position model. The record is from RNAcentral. Lineage: Eukaryota; Fungi.